RNAcentral lists this ribosomal RNA (272 nucleotides) under uncultured bacterium. RNAcentral's name for it is "partial 16S ribosomal RNA". It matches the Rfam family "Bacterial small subunit ribosomal RNA", at positions 27 to 316 of the family's 1533-position model. The record is from RNAcentral.
GAAUCAACGCUGGCGGCGUGCCUAACACAUGCAAGUCGCACGAGAAAGGGGAGCAAUCCCUGAGUAAAGUGGCGCACGGGUGAGUAACACGUGACUAACCUACCCUCGAGUGGGGAAUAACCUAGAGAAAUCUGGGCUAAUACCGCAUAACACUUACGAGUCAAAGCAGCAAUGCGCUUGAGGAGGGGGUCGCGGCAGAUUAGCUAGUUGCGGGGUAAUGGCCACCAGGCAAUGAUCUGUAUCCGGCCUGAGAGGGCGCACGGACACACUGG